Molecule: non-coding RNA, 58 nt
Organism: Salmo salar (Atlantic salmon)
Lineage: Eukaryota; Metazoa; Chordata; Actinopteri; Salmoniformes; Salmonidae
Source: Rfam
UGGCUCAGUUAGAAGAGCAUGGUGUUUGCAACGCCAGGGUUGUGGGUUCGAUUCCCAC